GCAUUCAUUGUGUCCCUGUAGCACGUUGGACUUCUAAUCCAAAGGUCGUGGGUUCGAAUUCCACCUGGAAUGGCA
Trichonephila clavipes is the source of this 75-nucleotide non-coding RNA. Lineage: Eukaryota; Metazoa; Arthropoda; Arachnida; Araneae; Nephilidae. The record is from the annotation of a GenBank genome assembly.